AUGAACGCUGGCGGCGUGCCUAAUACCUGCAAGUCGAGCGAACGGACGAGAAGCUUGCUUUUCUGAUGUUAGCGGCGGACGGGUGAGUAACACGUGGAUAACCUACCUAUAAGACUGGGAUAACUUCGGGAAACCGGAGCUAAUACCGGAUAAUAUUUUGAACCGCAUGGUUCAAAAGUGAAAGACGGUCCUGCUGUCACUUAUAGAUGGAUCCGCGCUGCAUUAGCUAGUUGGUAAGGUAACGGCUUACCAGGGCAACGAUGCAUAGCCGACCUGAGAGGGUGAUCGGCCACACUGGAACUGAGACACGGUCCAGACUCCUACGGGAGGCAGCAGUAGGGAAUCUUCCGCAAUGGGCGAAAGCCUGACGGAGCAACGCCGCGUGAGUGAUGAAGGUCUUCGGAUCGUAAAACUCUGUUAUUAGGGAAGAACAUAUGUGUAAGUAACUGUGCACAUCUUGACGGUACCUAAUCAGAAAGCCACGGCUAACUACGUG
Molecule: ribosomal RNA, 496 nt
Filed under: uncultured bacterium
Lineage: Bacteria
Description: partial 16S ribosomal RNA
Rfam family: Bacterial small subunit ribosomal RNA
Source: RNAcentral